GUAACAGGAGAAAGCUUGCUUUCUUGCUGACGAGUGGCGGACGGGUGAGUAAUGCUUGGGAAUCUGGCUUAUGGAGGGGGAUAACGACGGGAAACUGUCGCUAAUACCGCGUAGUGUCGAGAGACGAAAGUGCGGGACUGAGAGGCCGCAUGCCAUAGGAUGAGCCCAAGUGGGAUUAGGUAGUUGGUGGGGUAAAGGCCUACCAAGCCUGCGAUCUCUAGCUGGUCUGAGAGGAUGACCAGCCACACUGGAACUGAGACACGGUCCAGACUCCUACGGGAGGCAGCAGUGGGGAAUAUUGCGCAAUGGGGGGAACCCUGACGCAGCCAUGCCGCGUGAAUGAAGAAGGCCUUCGGGUUGUAAAGUUCUUUCGGUAUUGAGGAAGGUUGAUGUGUUAAUAGCACAUCAAAUUGACGUUAAAUACAGAAGAAGCACCGGCUAACUCCGUGCCAGCAGCCGCGGUAAUACGGAGGGUGCGAGCGUUAAUCGGAAUAACUGGGCGUAAAGGGCACGCAGGCGGUUAUUUAAGUGAGGUGUGAAAGCCCCGGGCUUAACCUGGGAAUUGCAUUUCAGACUGGGUAACUAGAGUACUUUAGGGAGGGGUAGAAUUCCACGUGUAGCGGUGAAAUGCGUAGAGAUGUGGAGGAAUACCGAAGGCGAAGGCAGCCCCUUGGGAAUGUACUGACGCUCAUGUGCGAAAGCGUGGGGAGCAAACAGG
This 718-nucleotide ribosomal RNA is filed under the name uncultured Haemophilus sp. Its description in RNAcentral is "bacterial SSU rRNA". It matches the Rfam family "Bacterial small subunit ribosomal RNA", at positions 69 to 776 of the family's 1533-position model. Lineage: Bacteria; Pseudomonadati; Pseudomonadota; Gammaproteobacteria; Pasteurellales; Pasteurellaceae. The record is from RNAcentral.